Molecule: long non-coding RNA, 1414 nt
Filed under: Sarcophilus harrisii (Tasmanian devil)
Lineage: Eukaryota; Metazoa; Chordata; Mammalia; Dasyuromorphia; Dasyuridae
Description: lncRNA (ENSSHAG00000027603.1)
Source: RNAcentral
CUCUGGGCCAGGGGAACAGCCAGCCUGUGUAGAUCAGCCCAUUAAGCCAAGCGUGCCCAGCCACCUCCUUUGCACUGACGGUAAUUAAACGUUUCUCUGCUCACUUAAUUGAGGCUGUGACGGCUCUGAAUCAGACAUCUGCCUGGUGGCUCCCGCUAAGGUGGCAGCCAAGUGGGCCAGACCAAGGCGCAGAGCCACCAGGGCUGGGGGAAUCCCACGGGGCGCUGCCGCCAGUUUGCAGCCGGGCUUGGUCCCUUCCCCUCCCGGAGACUCGGUUUCCUUCUCCGCAAGGGAUUGAGGGAAAAGAGAAAGCUUUUCCCUGGCCUGGGAAAGCUUCCUAGGGGAGGCUGGUGGGUCUCUAAGGCUCAUUUGAAUUUAUGUUAAUGACAUCAUUAGAAAGCAAGCUCCCCGAGGGCAAGGGCUGCGGGCUUUCGUCUGGAAAUACCCCAAACUUCAUCUGAUUUUUUGUAAAAUGACUCUCACUUUCCCCAAGGGAUGGUUUGCUUCUGGUGUGAGAGUGAGAGCCAAUUCUUACUGGAGAAUAGCUUGUGUUUUGUCUCUUUUCCUUUGGGAUUAUCGGUAUCUGAACUUUGCUCUCUCUCUAGAGAUUUUAUUUGAGCUGUUCUUUUGAUGAGUAAAUUAGGGGUUAGACCUUUGUGAGCAGAAAAAUAAGCUAGAAAUCUGCUGUGCUCCAUGGCAUUGUCCAAUCGGCUACAUUAAAAACACACACACACACACAAAAAAAACCAAUUUUUUUUAAUUAAAAAAUAAAAUAUUUUUUAUUCCCCUACAUUAAAGAAAGAAAAUGUAAUUACAUUGUAUAAUAGUUUAUAAUAAAGUUUGACACUUUAUUACCAAUUAAAAAAAACAAAUAAAAUACCCAAUGCUUUUCACUAUAUAUAUAUAUAUAUUUCACUCCAUAUAUUGAUUUCCUUCUAUUUUCAAUGUGAAGGAGGUGGGGAGAUAGGAAAGAGGGAGGAAGGGAAACUCAAAGUCUUCUUUUUUUUUUUAUUGUUAAAAAUUGUUUUUACACAUGAUAGGGAGAAAAUAAAAUAAGUAAAAGAUUUUUAAAAGAUAAAUGGAUACAUGCCCUAUAUCGAGAGAUUUAAGAAAACCAGAAGAACAUGGAACAUAGUAUUUAUCAGAUUUUUGGACACGUGAACAAUUUAUGAAUAAACAAGAGAUGGAGCAAAGUUAGGCAGAAAACGGAUAAUUUCAAUUACAUGAAAAUUUUAAAAGAUUUUGUACAAAUAAAGCAAAUGUUGCCGAGAUCCGAAGGAAAACAGGAAAUUGUGGGGGAAAGUUAUAGUUUCUUAAAUCUCAAAUAUGUAAAGAACUCUAUCAAAUGUGUAAGAAUACAAGUCAUUUCCUAAUUGAUAUAAUGGUCAGAGGAUAUAAACAGGCAGUUUUCCAG